GGGAGUGUAGCUCAGGUGGUAAGAGCGGGCACCUUAUAAGUGUCGUCAGCGCGGGUUCAAAUCCCGCCAUUCCUACCA
RNAcentral lists this transfer RNA (78 nucleotides) under Octadecabacter sp. B2R22. RNAcentral's name for it is "tRNA-Ile". It matches the Rfam family "tRNA". Rfam says of the family: Transfer RNA (tRNA) molecules are approximately 80 nucleotides in length. Lineage: Bacteria; Pseudomonadati; Pseudomonadota; Alphaproteobacteria; Rhodobacterales; Roseobacteraceae. RNAcentral also lists the same sequence under 1 other name. The record is from RNAcentral.